Molecule: ribosomal RNA, 756 nt
Filed under: Triticum aestivum (bread wheat)
Lineage: Eukaryota; Viridiplantae; Streptophyta; Magnoliopsida; Poales; Poaceae
Description: partial small subunit ribosomal RNA
Source: RNAcentral
GGCAGCUACAACAUCAAUAUUCUUCAUAGAGUUUGUAUAUCAAUUUACAGAACUGAACAUCGAUAUUUUCGAUAAUCAAUUUAUACAUUCAUGCUACACAGAAAAAGGGCCAAGCAACUCUGCCGCCCCUGCUGCAGACCGCACCGGGCAUGGGGCAGCGCCCGUCGGCAGCCGCUCGGUGUCCUACACCCGAUGGAGACGAGCAGCAGCGGCCCUCCGUGCCCGGUGCUGCUCCCUGCGACGGCCAGUGAGGCGUGCGAGGCGGGCUCCGGCAGUCAAACAGCACGGGCGGACGUGGGCGGCGCUCGGUGGCGUGGGCGGAGGCAAGCUCCGGCGGGUGGACGCAGGCGACGCCCGGUGGCGCGGGCGGAAGCAAGAUCCGAAGGGUGGACGCGGGCGGAGGCGGUGGCGCCUGGUGGCACGGGCGGACGCGGGGCGCUGUACUUCCUUGUCCUCCUGGCCGUCUACGUCGUCGUCGGCGCCGUCGUUGGAGAGCUCCGCUCCCGGUUGGCCUCAGCCAGUGCAGCGUUGAGGAGCGCCCUCACUCCCGGCGAGGGGACGCGGCGAGGUCCGGCAAGGGGACGAGGCAUCGGGGUCCGGCGAGGGGACGCGGCGUCGGUGUCCGGCGAGGGGACGCGGCGUCGGUGUCCGGCGAGUAGUGGAGUGGUGGUGCGGUGGGGAUUGAGAGAAGGGAGGCAGGAGAUGGGAUCGAGCAAAGUGGGUGGGUGGGGAUUUUUGUCGGUGGGGCGUGGGUGG